Lucilia sericata (common green bottle fly) is the source of this 802-nucleotide long non-coding RNA. RefSeq lists it as uncharacterized. NCBI's taxonomy places the organism in Eukaryota, Metazoa, Arthropoda, Insecta, Diptera, Calliphoridae. The record is from RefSeq and is a predicted model, not a curated record. The transcript has 3 exons.
CUAUAAUAUGAGACUUUUGGUUACUUUUUCGAUCUUUUACUGGUAUUAAUUAAACGUUUAAUGAGAAUAUACAACAUGGAACGAUAAAGUGUUCUUCAAAAGGAGAUAUAAAGGAUACUAAUUUUAUCCUUUUUUACCCAUUUCUUCCCCUAAACGUAAUCCCUUCUUAGUGGAUCUAUACAAUGCCAAAGGAACCUAUAACCAAAAUUUCAUGAUUCUAGCUUUAACGGUUUGGGCUGGGCGAUGAUGAAUCAGUCAGUCAAUCAGUCACGCAAGCCUUUUAUAUAUAGAUUGAGAGAAGGAGAAUGGAUAGUUAGCUGCUGGUUUCAUACCUACAUCCUGUACAAAAAUAUUUUAACAGAUUAAAGUCUACUAAACUCACCUGCAAACAAAUCAACUGUAGUAACAGUAUUACAUUCGACACCGUUACAACUGGAACCAUUUUUUUCUUUUCCGUACACUACCCACGGUGAACCAGAAUUCAACGAACACAUAAAUCCUAUGUCGCAAAACAGAAUUUGGAUGUAAAACCAUUUGCAGGGCGAUUUAAUACGAUUAACCUUAGAAUCCAAUACGCAUAUAUUAGGAUACAUCCCACCAACAAGGGCGGCUUUAAUGACAGAACAAUUCGAUUUGAGAUUUAUAUAAUGCAUACUAAGAUCAACUUUGCUAUAUAUUAAUUGUGAUGAUCUUAAGGAUCCAACCAAUUGAGUACGGAUAUUGCAGUCCUGUUCCAACAGGCCAUUCAAAAUGAAAUUAUAUUAAAAUCAAAAACCAAUUCCUCAUUUCUAAAGUUAUUUUU